Long non-coding RNA from Oncorhynchus gorbuscha (pink salmon), 882 nucleotides. RefSeq lists it as uncharacterized. The transcript has 3 exons. The record is from RefSeq and is a predicted model, not a curated record. Lineage: Eukaryota; Metazoa; Chordata; Actinopteri; Salmoniformes; Salmonidae.
AUGUCAAGCUUCAGUAUCAUAGAGAAUGUUUCUGUUUACCACGGGGCUAUCAGCAAGGCCACUACUGAGAUGAUCCUGGGUGCAGUGGGGAGAGAUGGGAGUUAUCUACUCCGAGACAGUGAGAGUUUGCCCAACACCUACUGCCUAUGUUUUCUAUGCAAAGAUGUUGUCUACACCUACAGAAUGUUCCAAAUCAAUGAGGGGUCCUGGACAGUUGAGGCGUUCUCAUUGCUCAUGGUUGCCAGGAGACCCGAGUUGCCAUGGUAGCUGAUCUGCGCCAGGUCAUGCGCCAGGGCGGAGACUUUCUUGAGGACGCCCCCGUUGCUGAUCGUGAGCCAAUAGACCUGACCCCCGGGAACCAGUAGCCAGAGGGGGACACCGUUGGCAUCGCGGCGCACAUGGACCAUGGUGCCGUCGCUGGUGACCACGGCGCUCACGUCACCCUCUCCUGAGUAGGUGAAGUUAUAGACGUAGUCUCCGGUGACCAGGCUGCGGGUGUGGAGGUGAGUGCCGUUGACACUGAACAGAUAGAGCUCCUGGUCCACCACAGAGGUGAUCUCAUACAUGCUGUUCUGAUUGAGCUGGGGCCUGUUGGGGGACAAGGCCCUGAUACGGAUGUUCCCCAGGUCAGAGAUGUACAGAGUCCCAUUAGGGGAAACAGCCAGGGAGGAGGGAGCCUUCAGCUUGGCAUCACGGGCAUAUCCACCAUCUCCUGUGGGAACAGGACAAUGAAGAAAUUAAGCACUUAACUAGCUAAGGUAGAAUACAUUGAGUCAAAUGAGAGUCAAUCAUAAACAACUAUUUAUGUAUUCAUACUUUACUGAAUAAUAAUGUGGUGUUUGAUAUGUUGCAAUGUCAAAUAAAGUUGUUAUGAAUAAUACA